GAAGACUGUGUAACUUUCAGCCCUGGAAAGUGACUUUUCUAAAUUAUCUGGAACCAUAAACCUGACACGUUUGCGUCGUAUUAGUAAUCCGAAAAUUAACUCCUGACGUUACUUCCAAACUGUUUCAUCAAUGACAGAGAUUAUAUUAAUUAACUUAAAAUGAMAGUUAAUUUUCCGAAUUUAUAACUAUUCCCUGUACUUCUUGGAUAUCUAGAAAAACUACUUAAAAUGAUAAUUAAAAUCCACAUAUUAAUAAAACACUUAAAAAUAGUAAAAUAACCCCACUUAUUCUUAUAGUUAUUACUUAUAUACUAGGAAAAAAUACCUUAUUUCUUAUUCUACGGGAUUCCUGUUCUCGUAGUAAAACAGCCUCUCAAGAAUAACUAUUAUAUCUACCGCUGGACCUUCAACCUAAUUCUUACAUACAACCACAUCCACGACUAUAAUAACUAGACAAG
RNAcentral lists this ribosomal RNA (458 nucleotides) under Cardiodactylus enkraussi. RNAcentral's name for it is "LSU rRNA". Lineage: Eukaryota; Metazoa; Arthropoda; Insecta; Orthoptera; Gryllidae. The record is from RNAcentral.